UACGGGGGGAGCAAGCGUUGUUCGGAUUUACUGGGCGUAAAGGGCGCGUAGGCGGCCAGCACAAGUCAGUUGUGAAAUCUCCGAGCUUAACUCGGAACGGUCAACUGAUACUGUGCGGCUAGAGUGCAGAAGGGGCAACUGGAAUUCUUGGUGUAGCGGUGAAAUGCGCAGAUAUCAGGAAGAACACCAAUGGCGAAGGCAGCUCUCUGGGACGGUACUGACGCUGAGACGCGAAAGCGUGGGGAGCGAACAGG
This 254-nucleotide ribosomal RNA is filed under the name uncultured bacterium. Its description in RNAcentral is "partial 16S ribosomal RNA". It matches the Rfam family "Bacterial small subunit ribosomal RNA", at positions 524 to 776 of the family's 1533-position model. The record is from RNAcentral.